CCUCCCAUAGUUCAGUGGUAGAGUGUCCAACCGGUGUGCGGAAGUUUAUAGGUUUGAUUCCUGUUGGGGAACUCGGA
Molecule: transfer RNA, 77 nt
Filed under: Desmophyllum pertusum
Lineage: Eukaryota; Metazoa; Cnidaria; Anthozoa; Scleractinia; Caryophylliidae
Description: tRNA-Thr
Source: RNAcentral